Varanus komodoensis (Komodo dragon) is the source of this 534-nucleotide long non-coding RNA. RefSeq lists it as uncharacterized. The transcript is spliced from 2 exons. The record is from RefSeq and is a predicted model, not a curated record. Lineage: Eukaryota; Metazoa; Chordata; Lepidosauria; Squamata; Varanidae.
GGAAUGGCCAGUUUUGAUCAGAGUCCAUGCUGGAAAGCUUACUUAACAUGCCUUCCCUAUGGCACUUUUCGCCUUCAUAUGGUCCGGAUCUUCCUUUGGCCAGCGUGCCUAAGAGACCAACGCUGUCAAAAUCAUUUGUUUGCCAUCUCAAGGACCAUCGCUGAGAGAUAAUUUCCAGUGUGAAGGUUCUGGCUAUGGAAGAGAUCGUAGGAUAGACAGUCCACAUCAGAGGUCCUCGAGAAGAGACUCAGACCAAGGCCACGUCUAUUGUCUGCAGCUCGGGUUGAUUGCUCCAGGACCCCAAAGAAAAUGAAUGCGCACUUGAUAUCCCAGAGCAUUCAUCGGAGAAACGACGAGUAUCAGACAGUGAUCGACGAAGUGUUCUUUGCUGCAGAUGGAGAGAGGCAGACUGAUGUACUAAAAGUAACUGUCUGAUGUGCUGCUGCCAAAGGACCUAACCCUACCCUGGUGCACACCCCUAACCCUAAUGUAGGGGUAAAGUUCCAUUAAAGAGAGAGCAAUUCUGAAAAAGCC